UACGAAGGUCCCAAGCGUUAUCCGGAUUUAUUGGGUUUAAAGGGUGCGUAGGCGGGCUAUUAAGUCAGUGGUGAAAGCCCCAGCUUAACUUGGGAACUGCCAUUGAUACUGAUGGUCUUGAGUACAUUUGAGGUGGGCGGAAUGUGCCAUGUAGCGGUGAAAUGCUUAGAUAUGACACAGAACACCGAUUGCGAAGGCAGCUCACUAAACUGUAACUGACGCUGAGGCACGAAAGCGUGGGGAGCAAACAGG
This 252-nucleotide ribosomal RNA is filed under the name uncultured bacterium. RNAcentral describes it as "partial 16S ribosomal RNA". It matches the Rfam family "Bacterial small subunit ribosomal RNA", at positions 524 to 776 of the family's 1533-position model. The record is from RNAcentral.